This 62-nucleotide transfer RNA is filed under the name Tevnia jerichonana. RNAcentral's name for it is "tRNA-Trp". The record is from RNAcentral. Lineage: Eukaryota; Metazoa; Annelida; Polychaeta; Sabellida; Siboglinidae.
AUAACUUUAAGUUAAUUAAACUAAAGGUCUUCAAAGCCUUCAAUGGAAAUAUCCAAGUUAUG